RNAcentral lists this ribosomal RNA (440 nucleotides) under Campylobacter gracilis. RNAcentral describes it as "bacterial SSU rRNA". It matches the Rfam family "Bacterial small subunit ribosomal RNA", at positions 29 to 483 of the family's 1533-position model. Lineage: Bacteria; Pseudomonadati; Campylobacterota; Epsilonproteobacteria; Campylobacterales; Campylobacteraceae. The record is from RNAcentral.
AGUGAACGCUGGCGGCGUGCCUAAUACAUGCAAGUCGAACGGAAUUUAAAAGAGCUUGCUCUUUUAAAUUUAGUGGCGCACGGGUGAGUAAUAUAUAGCUAAUCUGCCCCUUGCUGGAGGACAACAGUUAGAAAUGACUGCUAAUACUCCAUACUCCUUUUUACCAUAAGAUAAAUCGGGAAAGAAUUUCGGCAAGGGAUGAGACUAUAUCGUAUCAGCUAGUCGGUGGGGUAACGGCCUACCGAGGCUAUGACGCGUAACUGGUCUGAGAGGAUGAUCAGUCACAUUGGAACUGAGACACGGUCCAAACUCCUACGGGAGGCAGCAGUAGGGAAUAUUGCGCAAUGGGGGAAACCCUGACGCAGCAACGCCGCGUGGAGGAUGACGCUUUUCGGAGCGUAAACUCCUUUUGUUAGGGAAGAAUAAUGACGGUACCUAAC